AACGAACGCUGGCGGCGUGCCUAACACAUGCAAGUCGUGCGAGAAACCGAGGGCAACCUCGCGAGUAAAGCGGCGUACGGGUGAGUAACACGUAGGUAACCUACCUCCAAGUCUGGGAUAACUCUCCGAAAGGAAAGCUAAUACCAGAUAAAACCGCUAGGCGAGAGCCUAGCGGCCAAAGAUGGCCUCUGCUUGCAAGCUAUCGCUCGAAGAUGGGCCCGCGCACCAUAGCUAGUUGGCGGAGUAACAGCCCACCAAGGCGAAGAUGGUUAGCUGGUCUGAGAGGAUGAUCAGCCACACUGGGACUGAGACACGG
This 316-nucleotide ribosomal RNA is filed under the name uncultured bacterium. RNAcentral describes it as "bacterial SSU rRNA". It matches the Rfam family "Bacterial small subunit ribosomal RNA", at positions 29 to 329 of the family's 1533-position model. The record is from RNAcentral.